RNAcentral lists this ribosomal RNA (1342 nucleotides) under uncultured bacterium. RNAcentral's name for it is "bacterial SSU rRNA". It matches the Rfam family "Bacterial small subunit ribosomal RNA", at positions 138 to 1481 of the family's 1533-position model. The record is from RNAcentral.
GGGGGAUAACGUAGCGAAAGUUACGCUAAUACCGCAUACGAUCUAAGGAUGAAAGUGGGGGAUCGCAAGACCUCAUGCUCCUGGAGCGGCCGAUAUCUGAUUAGCUAGUUGGUGGGGUAAAGGCCUACCAAGGCAUCGAUCAGUAGCUGGUCUGAGAGGACGACCAGCCACACUGGAACUGAGACACGGUCCAGACUCCUACGGGAGGCAGCAGUGGGGAAUUUUGGACAAUGGGCGCAAGCCUGAUCCAGCAAUGCCGCGUGAGUGAAGAAGGCCUUCGGGUUGUAAAGCUCUUUUGUCAGGGAAGAAACGGUGGGGGCUAAUAUCCCCUGCUAAUGACGGUACCUGAAGAAUAAGCACCGGCUAACUACGUGCCAGCAGCCGCGGUAAUACGUAGGGUGCAAGCGUUAAUCGGAAUUACUGGGCGUAAAGCGUGCGCAGGCGGUUUUGUAAGUCUGUCGUGAAAUCCCCGGGCUCAACCUGGGAAUUGCGAUGGAGACUGCAAGGCUAGAAUCUGGCAGAGGGGGGUAGAAUUCCACGUGUAGCAGUGAAAUGCGUAGAGAUGUGGAGGAACACCGAUGGCGAAGGCAGCCCCCUGGGUCAAGAUUGACGCUCAUGCACGAAAGCGUGGGGAGCAAACAGGAUUAGAUACCCUGGUAGUCCACGCCCUAAACGAUGUCUACUAGUUGUCGGGUUUUAAUUAACUUGGUAACGCAGCUAACGCGUGAAGUAGACCGCCUGGGGAGUACGGUCGCAAGAUUAAAACUCAAAGGAAUUGACGGGGACCCGCACAAGCGGUGGAUGAUGUGGAUUAAUUCGAUGCAACGCGAAAAACCUUACCUACCCUUGACAUGGCAGGAAUCCCUGAGAGAUUGGGGAGUGCUCGAAAGAGAACCUGCACACAGGUGCUGCAUGGCUGUCGUCAGCUCGUGUCGUGAGAUGUUGGGUUAAGUCCCGCAACGAGCGCAACCCUUGUCAUUAGUUGCUACGAAAGAGCACUCUAAUGAGACUGCCGGUGACAAACCGGAGGAAGGUGGGGAUGACGUCAAGUCCUCAUGGCCCUUAUGGGUAGGGCUUCACACGUCAUACAAUGGUACAUACAGAGGGCCGCCAACCCGCGAGGGGGAGCUAAUCCCAGAAAGUGUAUCGUAGUCCGGAUUGUAGUCUGCAACUCGACUACAUGAAGUUGGAAUCGCUAGUAAUCGCGGAUCAGCAUGUCGCGGUGAAUACGUUCCCGGGUCUUGUACACACCGCCCGUCACACCAUGGGAGCGGGUUUUACCAGAAGUAGGUAGCUUAACCGCAAGGAGGGCGCUUACCACGGUAGGAUUCGUGACUGGGGU